GCCGCUUUAGCUUAGUGGCAAAGCAAUGCUUUCGUAAAGCAUGGACGCAAGUUCGAUUCUUGCAAGCGGCU
Molecule: non-coding RNA, 71 nt
Organism: Candidatus Staskawiczbacteria bacterium
Lineage: Bacteria; Candidatus Staskawicziibacteriota
Source: Rfam